This 216-nucleotide unclassified non-coding RNA is filed under the name uncultured fungus. RNAcentral's name for it is "partial contains 5.8S ribosomal RNA, internal transcribed spacer 2, and large subunit ribosomal RNA". The record is from RNAcentral. Lineage: Eukaryota; Fungi.
AACGCACAUUGCGCCUCUCUCGUAGGGAGGCAUGCCUGUCUGAGCGUCAUUUAAACCAAAUGGGAAUUUAGGUUCCCGUGUUGGGCCUCGCCUUUGGGCGUAGCCUCAAGGCCAUCGGUCUAACGAGCGGGCGAGUUCCUCUAGGACGGACCGAUCGAAGACCCCGAUUAUCUCUGAUUUGACCUCAGAUCAGGUAGGAACACCGCCUGAACUUAA